Long non-coding RNA from Monopterus albus (swamp eel), 340 nucleotides. RefSeq lists it as uncharacterized. The record is from RefSeq and is a predicted model, not a curated record. The transcript has 3 exons. Lineage: Eukaryota; Metazoa; Chordata; Actinopteri; Synbranchiformes; Synbranchidae.
UUGUGCAGGUGUUGCAGAGUGUUCCAGUAACCAGGUGUUCAGUGACUGUUCAGGGGCCUGUCCAUAUACCUGUGAAGACCUGUGGCCACACACUCAGUGUUUCCCUGGACCCUGCACCCCUGGGUGCACCUGCCCUCCUGGACAGGUGUUGUAUAGAGGCUCCUGUGUGUCGCAUUCUGACUGUCCCUGUUCAGCACUCUCUCUGCCCAGUGGUUACCAAAGCUGGAAUAUGAGCACUGUAGAGAUCACAGAAGCGCUGCUGCCACCUGGAACGGCCAUUCAGCAUGUCUGCAACACAUGGAGCAUCUCCAGAAGUAGUGCUACUACAUUGACAGGUGAA